Non-coding RNA from Schistosoma rodhaini, 46 nucleotides. The record is from Rfam. NCBI's taxonomy places the organism in Eukaryota, Metazoa, Platyhelminthes, Trematoda, Strigeidida, Schistosomatidae.
GCACUGCUGAGGAGUGCCACAAUAGGACGAAACGGCCGUCCAGUGC